This 253-nucleotide ribosomal RNA is filed under the name uncultured bacterium. Its description in RNAcentral is "partial 16S ribosomal RNA". It matches the Rfam family "Bacterial small subunit ribosomal RNA", at positions 524 to 776 of the family's 1533-position model. The record is from RNAcentral.
UACAGAGGGUGCGAGCGUUAAUCGGAAUUACUGGGCGUAAAGCGUGCGUAGACGGUUAUCUAAGUCGGAUGUGAAAGCCCCGGGCUCAACCUGGGAAUUGCAUUCGAGACUGAAUAGCUAGGGUACGGUAGAGGGAAGUGGAAUUUCCGGUGUAGCGGUGAAAUGCGUAGAUAUCGGAAGGAACAUCAGUGGCGAAAGCGCUCUGCUAGGCCGCAACUGACACUGAGGGACGAAAGCUAGGGGAGCGAAUGGG